GCCGAAGUGGCGGAACUGGCAGACGCGCGGCGUUCAGGGCGCCGUGCUCGUACGAGCGUGUGGGUUCGAAUCCCACCUUCGGCACCA
This 87-nucleotide transfer RNA is filed under the name Chloroflexota bacterium. RNAcentral describes it as "Chloroflexi bacterium tRNA-Leu". It matches the Rfam family "tRNA". Rfam says of the family: Transfer RNA (tRNA) molecules are approximately 80 nucleotides in length. Their secondary structure includes four short double-helical elements and three loops (D, anti-codon, and T loops). The record is from RNAcentral. Lineage: Bacteria; Bacillati; Chloroflexota.